GCGGACAUAGCUCAGUGGUAGAGCAUAACCUUGCCAAGGUUGAUGUCGCGCGUUCGAAUCGCGUUGUCCGCU
Molecule: transfer RNA, 72 nt
Filed under: Cyanidium sp. THAL103
Lineage: Eukaryota; Rhodophyta; Bangiophyceae; Cyanidiales; Cyanidiaceae
Description: tRNA-Gly
Rfam family: tRNA
About the family: Transfer RNA (tRNA) molecules are approximately 80 nucleotides in length.
Source: RNAcentral